CGCAACGGGAGGAGCGUGCGGUUUAAUUGGAUUCAACACCGGGAAGCUCACCAAGGGCGACUGUCACAUGGAGGCCAGGCCGAUGACCUUGCCGGAUUCUCAGAGAGGUGGUGCAUGGCCGUCGUCAGUUCGUACCGUAAGGCGUUCUCUUAAGUGAGAUAACGAACGAGACCCUCACCGAUAAUUGCUAUCCCAUCCUCCGGGGUGGGGGCACAUUAUCGGGACCGCUGGCGCUAAGCCAGAGGAAGGAGAGGUCAACGGUAGGUCAGUAUGCCCCGAAUCUCUUGGGCUACACGCGCGCUACAAAGGGCGGGACAAUGGGCUCCGACGCCGAGAGGCGGAGGCAAUCCCGAAACCCGUCCGUAGUUCGGAUUGAGGGCUGCAACCCGCCCUCAUGAAGCUGGAUUCCGUAGUAAUCGCGAAUCAAAAACUCGCGGUGAAUAUGCCCCU
This 450-nucleotide ribosomal RNA is filed under the name uncultured archaeon. RNAcentral describes it as "bacterial SSU rRNA". It matches the Rfam family "Archaeal small subunit ribosomal RNA", at positions 880 to 1331 of the family's 1478-position model. The record is from RNAcentral.